Molecule: ribosomal RNA, 382 nt
Filed under: uncultured eukaryote
Lineage: Eukaryota
Description: partial 18S ribosomal RNA
Rfam family: Eukaryotic small subunit ribosomal RNA
Source: RNAcentral
UGUAAGCGUAUACCAAAGUUGUUGCAGUUAAAACGCUCGUAGUCGGAAUUUGGCAGUUCCGGAUGUGUGCACGUCGUGUGCGCACGUCGCGGGGAUUGCUUUUGUGGUCUUGCGUAGGAUGAGGCACUUUUAUUAGUGAACGUCCUCACGCAACCACUUUUUACUGUGAGAAAAUCAGAGUGCUCAAAGCAGGCAUUUGCCGUGAAUGUAUUAGCAUGGAAUAAUAGAAUAGGACUUGGUUCUAUUUUGUUGGUUUGUUGGGACUGAGUAAUGAUUAAGAGGGACAGUUGGGGGCAUUUGUAUUUCGGUGCUAGAGGUGAAAUUCUUAGAUUACCGAAAGACAAACUGCUGCGAAAGCGUCUGCCAAGGAUGUUUUCAUUGA